This 253-nucleotide ribosomal RNA is filed under the name uncultured bacterium. RNAcentral's name for it is "partial 16S ribosomal RNA". It matches the Rfam family "Bacterial small subunit ribosomal RNA", at positions 524 to 776 of the family's 1533-position model. The record is from RNAcentral.
UACAGAGGUCCCAAGCGUUGUUCGGAUUUACUGGGCGUAAAGGGUGCGUAGGAGGUCUGGAAAGUCGGGUGUGAAAUCCCACCGCUCAACGGUGGAAUGGCGCUCGAUACUUCCAGACUCGAGGACCGGAGGGGAGAACGGAAUUCCUGGUGUAGCGGUGAAAUGCGUAGAUAUCAGGAGGAACACCAACGGCGAAGGCAGUUCUCUGGAAGGUUCCUGACUCUGAGGCACGAAGGCCAGGGGAGCAAACGGG